Molecule: ribosomal RNA, 468 nt
Filed under: uncultured bacterium
Lineage: Bacteria
Description: partial 16S ribosomal RNA
Rfam family: Bacterial small subunit ribosomal RNA (bases 54-468)
Source: RNAcentral
GGGGGGGGGGGGGGGGGGGGGGGGGGGGGGGGGGGCGGGGGGGGGGGGGGGGGGUGGGGGGGGUGGUCGGGGGGCGAACGGGGGAGGAACACGGGGGGAACCUGCCCUUGACUGUGGGAUGACUUCAGGAAACUGGGGCGAAUACCGGAUAGGAGCUCCUGCUGCAUGGUGGGGGGUGGGAAGUUUCGGCGGGUGGGGAUGGACGCGCGGCUUAUCAGCUUGUUGGUGGGGGAGUGGCUUACCAAGGCUUUGACGGGUAGCCGGCCUGAGAGGGUGACCGGCCACAUUGGGACUGAGAUACGGCCCAGACUCCUACGGGAGGCAGCAGUGGGGAAUAUUGCACAAUGGGCGGAAGCCUGAUGCAGCAACGCCGCGUGCGGGAUGACGGCCUUCGGGUUGUAAACCGCUUUCGCCUGUGACGAAGCGUGAGUGACGGUAAUGGGUAAAGAAGCACCGGCUAACUACGUG